ACUCAAAUGAAUUGACGGGGACCCGCACAAGCAGUGGAGUAUGUGGUUUAAUUCGAAGCAACGCGAAGAACCUUACCAGGCCUUGACAUCCCCCUGAAUCCGCUAGAGAUAGCGGCGGCCUUCGGGACAGGGGAGACAGGUGGUGCAUGGUUGUCGUCAGCUCGUGUCGUGAGAUGUUGGGUUAAGUCCCGCAACGAGCGCAACCCUUGAUGCUAGUUGCCAGCGAGUAAGGUCGGGCACUCUAGGAUGACUGCCGGUGACAAACCGGAGGAAGGUGGGGAUGACGUCAAAUCAUCAUGCCCCUUAUGGCCUGGGCUACACACGUACUACAAUGGCCGUUACAGAGGGAAGCAAGGCCGCGAGGCGGAGCGAAUCUCAGAAAGGCGGUCUCAGUUCGGAUUGCAGGCUGCAACUCGCCUGCAUGAAGUCGGAAUUGCUAGUAAUCGCGGAUCAGCAUGCCGCGGUGAAUACGUUCCCGGGUCUUGUACACACCGCCCGU
RNAcentral lists this ribosomal RNA (499 nucleotides) under uncultured bacterium. RNAcentral describes it as "partial 16S ribosomal RNA". It matches the Rfam family "Bacterial small subunit ribosomal RNA", at positions 899 to 1397 of the family's 1533-position model. The record is from RNAcentral.